This 253-nucleotide ribosomal RNA is filed under the name uncultured bacterium. RNAcentral describes it as "partial 16S ribosomal RNA". It matches the Rfam family "Archaeal small subunit ribosomal RNA", at positions 474 to 727 of the family's 1478-position model. The record is from RNAcentral.
UACCAGCACCCCGAGUGGUCGGGACGUUUAUUGGGCCUAAAGCAUCCGUAGCCGGUUCUACAAGUCUUCCGUUAAAUCCAACUGCUUAACAGGUGGGCUGCGGAAGAUACUAUAGAGCUAGGAGGCGGGAGAGACAAGCGGUACUCGAUGGGUAGGGGUAAAAUCCGUUGAUCCAUUGAAGACCACCAGUGGCGAAGGCGGCUUGCCAGAACGCGCUCGACGGUGAGGGAUGAAAGCUGGGGGAGCAAACCGG